GCAGCCGCCACGGUAAUACGUAGGGCGCAAGCGUUGUCCGGAAUUAUUGGGCGUAAAGAGCUCGUAGGCGGUUUGUCGCGUCUGCUGUGAAAACUCGAGGCUCAACCUCGGGCUUGCAGUGGGUACGGGCAGACUGGAGUGCGGUAGGGGAGACUGGAAUUCCUGGUGUAGCGGUGGAAUGCGCAGAUAUCAGGAGGAACACCGAUGGCGAAGGCAGGUCUCUGGGCCGCAACUGACGCUGAGGAGCGAAAGCAUGGGGAGCGAACAGGAUUAGAUACCCGUGUAGUCCCUGUCUCUUAUAC
This 302-nucleotide ribosomal RNA is filed under the name uncultured bacterium. RNAcentral describes it as "partial 16S ribosomal RNA". It matches the Rfam family "Bacterial small subunit ribosomal RNA", at positions 508 to 807 of the family's 1533-position model. The record is from RNAcentral.